GCGGGACUGAUCAGCCAUGCCGCGUGCAGGAUGACGGCCCUAUGGGUUGUAAACUGCUUUUAUACGGGAAGAAACGCGCCCACGUGUGGGCGUUUGACGGUACCGUAAGAAUAAGGACCGGCUAACUCCGUGCCAGCAGCCGCGGUAAUACGGAGGGUCCGAGCGUUAUCCGGAAUCAUUGGGUUUAAAGGGUCCGUAGGCGGGCCUGUAAGUCAGGGGUGAAAGUUUGUGGCUCAACCAUAAAAUUGCCUUUGAUACUGCAGGUCUUGAGUCAUGGUGGGGUUGCCGGAACAUGUGGUGUAGCGGUGAAAUGCAUAGAUAUCACAUAGAACACCGAUCGCGAAGGCAGGUGACCAACCAUGUACUGACGCUGAUGGACGAAAGCGUGGGUAGCGAACGGGAUUAGAUACCCCGGUAGU
RNAcentral lists this ribosomal RNA (419 nucleotides) under Flagellimonas lutimaris. RNAcentral describes it as "bacterial SSU rRNA". It matches the Rfam family "Bacterial small subunit ribosomal RNA", at positions 377 to 794 of the family's 1533-position model. Lineage: Bacteria; Pseudomonadati; Bacteroidota; Flavobacteriia; Flavobacteriales; Flavobacteriaceae. The record is from RNAcentral.